GAUAAACGCUGGCGGCGUGCCUUAUGCAUGCAAGUCGAACGUGAAGCCGACUUCGGUUGGUGGAAAGUGGCGAACGGGUGAGUAACACGUAGGAACCUGCCCGGAAGUGGGGGAUAACUCCGCGAAAGCGGGGCUAAUACCGCAUGUGGUCGAAAGAUUAAAGCUUCGGCGCUUCCGGAGGGGCCUGCGGCGGAUUAGCUAGUUGGUGGGGUAACGGCCUACCAAGGCGACGAUCCGUAGCUGGCUGAGAGGAUGGUCAGCCACACUGGAACUGAGACACGGUCCAGACUCCUACGGGAGGCAGCAGCAAGGAAUUUUUGCGCAAUGGGCGAAAGCCUGACGCAGCAACGCCGCGUGGGGGAAGAAGGCCUUCGGUUGUU
This 380-nucleotide ribosomal RNA is filed under the name uncultured bacterium. RNAcentral describes it as "bacterial SSU rRNA". It matches the Rfam family "Bacterial small subunit ribosomal RNA", at positions 28 to 427 of the family's 1533-position model. The record is from RNAcentral.